AGCUGCCAGGCCUGUGCGCAGGGGAGCUCAACUCUGUCAGCCCAAGCAGCCCACAUGACUGCUCAGGCAGCCCCCAGCCGUGCCCCGCGUGACAGGUGCCCAGCAGUGCGUGGACGAUGCUGAGUGUGGCAAAAGGUGAACAGGCUCAGUGUGACCGCUCACACCCAAGCGCGCCCCCGCACAGGCGGCAGGCACAGGGGACAGGGCGGCAGGAGCUCAUGGGGUCGAGCGUUUGCCGCAUCAAAGAACAGCAAACCCGGAAGACCGCAGAGACAACCAGAUUGCAGCACGUGUGCUCAUUAAGGCCCCUGGGAGGAUCGUGUGGCCCGGAAGGGCACCUGCCUGUGCCACGCCUGGCCCGGGCUGAUGACAGAUUUUUGCAUGUUUUUAAGUACCUGAGCCAAGCGUGGUGGUGCAAAACUGUAUUCCCAGGACUGGGGAGGCUGAGGCAGGAGAGUCACCGUGAGUUUGAGGCCAGCCUGGGCUACAGAGAGAGCUGAAGACCAGCCUGCACUAAGUAUCAAGAUCCUGUCUCAAAAACCCAAAAACAUGAAAUAAAUAAAUAAAGUUCCCUCUUGGCCUUCUCAACCAGAUGACAAGAGACCCAAAGACACGGUCCACACCCAUGCUCAACGGUUGGAUUUUGUGUUUUUGUUACCGGGAAUCAAACUCAGGACCUUGCACUUGCCAGGCAGGCGCUGUGCUGCUGAGCCACAUCCCCGGCCCCAUGCCAGCAGUUGGGAUGCUGUGGUUUGAAUGGGACCCCCAAAAUCCUGUCUUGGAAACACCGUCCCCAGUGCAGCGGUGCUGG
This 811-nucleotide long non-coding RNA is filed under the name Chinchilla lanigera (long-tailed chinchilla). RNAcentral's name for it is "lncRNA (ENSCLAG00000022490.1)". Lineage: Eukaryota; Metazoa; Chordata; Mammalia; Rodentia; Chinchillidae. The record is from RNAcentral.